Orcinus orca (killer whale) is the source of this 8748-nucleotide long non-coding RNA. RefSeq lists it as uncharacterized. The record is from RefSeq and is a predicted model, not a curated record. Lineage: Eukaryota; Metazoa; Chordata; Mammalia; Artiodactyla; Delphinidae. The transcript is spliced from 3 exons.
CGAGUCUCAGUUUGGAAUCAGAAAAGAAGUGAUGCAAACCUUUUUAAGCUUUGGAAGGGAGGGAAGCCCGGGCAGACCCAGGAUGUGACUUGAAAGGUUGGCUGCUUCUCUCUUGCUUGCUCUCCCCCUGGCCCGCUGUGGCCUGCCCUCUUGGGCCCACCCUCCGCUUCAAAUCCUGCCAGACGACUGACAGGCCUGCAGGACCUCGAGGCUGACCCAGACACCUCCAGGCAGGGCUGCAACCUCCACACAGAAGAAGCACAUUCUGCGCACAGGUUUGCUUCGCAGACUGAUUCAAAUCCCACUUCAGGCCCAAAUCCCAAUUACUGGACAUGCCGAAUGUAAGUUUGCCAAGCCAAACUCAGCGAGAAGACUGCAGGCUUUCUCCACCGCGUGGCAUCAUCAGAGGGAUAAACCAUGAGCCUGGUCUAAUGAGCAAUGAAACACUUUGUAAAUAUUUGAUUUAAGGGGAUGCGAAUAGUAAAAUAACGUGGAGCUGAUGUCUGCAAUGACUUUUGAACUUUCCUCCUAACUACAGUCACAUGUGUUUUACACAUCAGCUGUGUUCCUGAAAAGUCGGGUUUCAAUCCAUAUGCUAAGUGGAAUUAUGUUUCAGAUGUUCUAGGGAUACUCUUGACUUGGGGAAACCAGGAAUCAGUGAAGAGGCUACGGACAAAGCCUCACCCACGACCGCUUCGUCUCUGCUCAGUUUGGACGGCGCCCUCUGCCCCCGGCCGAGGCCGAGCCUUUGAGGACGCAGAGUCAGCACCGGCAGCGGUUCAUUUCAUCGCUGGGUCUGCGGAGGAAAGGGCUGGUCCUAGGGAAGGGUCAAAGGCAGGCUGUUUUGUUUUCUAGCAGCAAAACAGAGAAGGCUGGAGGAAACCACCCAAGCGCCAAGCUCUGCAGAGGGCAAGUGAAGUCGGAGUUUAAAAACAAAAGCGGAGGAGCCUAUCUCCUUGAAGCUGUUUAUAUUACAUAACUCAAAUAAACACAGCAGCGCAGGCAUGGUUCCCUCGGUGAGGGCCAGGACCACAGAGCCCAGAGGCGGACAAAGGGCACCUCCUCCAGCCUCUGGCUAGAAAUGGCUCCUUUAAAACAACAACAGCAGCAUUAAUAAUAUUCGGGGACACACCAGGACAAUUCAGGAGGACAGCCUGAAUAAACUGAGUAGAGGACUCAUGCUAAUUAGGACUUGUAAGGUGACUUUCUUUUCUCUUGCUAAGGAAAGAAAUCCUCAUCAGAGCAAUGGGGAGAAGCAAAGUUGACCCAAAACGGCUAUUUGCAUUUUGCAAAGGGGGGACAAGAGGCACUCGAUCCUGCCAUGAAAUCCUGCAGGAGCACGGAGGCCACUUUCUCAGGCACUUGGGGGGGCAGCUGGCUUUCUGACUUCAGCCCCUCCUCAGCCCGGGGUGAUGGGAAGCAUUGGGCAGUUUUAUGGAAUCUGCCUGAAGAAUAAAGAACAUGAAAGAAAAGUUAGCCACUCAGUAAAUGGACACAGACCUACAGGCCCGGCGUCUGAACGAAAUCAGAGAGUCUUGAAAUUGAGAGCAGGCAAGAACCGACUGCAACCUUUUUCGUCAGUCGCCUGCAGUGUCCCAGGACAGCAACCCUAUCGUAUGCCAGGGGACAAGAAUAGAAAGAAAAAUUGAGAACACAGCCCUGAGCACGGGCUGGCGGUAUCCAUUGCCAGCAGUUGCCCCAUUAGUAGGCUAUGGGGACAUGCGAGGGAAUUUUUCUGUACGAGGCUUGUGUUUAAAAAUAUAUCUUGCUUCAACGCUGGUGCGGGAGUGGCUGGGGAAUGAGAGCCUGCUUUCUCCGCGCAGAGCAGUUUGCUCAUUCUUCUGUGAUUUACUGCACGGCACUCACCUCUCUGAGGCCGCCCCUCAUAUGCCACAUGACAGUGACCAAGACCUCAACCUGGCUCUUAGAAAGCUAACACGUAGGACGAUUCCUGGACGAAAGCCACGCUCCAGAAACAUCCUCCCCAGUGGCUUGCUGGAAGCACACGGGGCCGGGGACGGAGGCUGAGAGGAACGCUUCCCCACCAAGGCCUCUCUGACCCUUCUCACUCCAUGGAUGUGUCCCCGGGGAUGCUUCCCUCCCCAUGUCCUUAUUCUCAAAAGGAGGACACCAGUUCCUACCUACCUCUUAAGGGCGUUCAGGUGUAAUAGCUGAUGGAAAUGACUUAAAAGCCCUUGGCAAAUACAAAGUUCGAGAUCGAGUGCUGAAUGGUGGCCUCCCUCACCUACCCUACCUAAGGCGUUACUUAUGUGCCCCCACCUUUAAACCCUUUGCUGAAAGACUGCUCCGUGGGGUGUGAAGCUGGUCUGUGCCGAAGAAAUCUCAGGUUCCUCCAGAGAAGUUUGCCUUUGCAGGAACUGCUGAAAUCCUUACAUGUCCAAACGCAUAUUCUGGGUAGGAAACAACAGGUGAUGAGCUGCAAGGCUGAGAGGCUGCCAGGAUCCACCCAUGGGCACCCAGGGUUUGGCACCCGUUUCCCAGGGAGAGAUGAAAGGGAACAAAUCAACACGGCAGGGUCAAGUUCAAGUCUGCCUCAAUGAAACUCUGGAGACCUCCUUCUUGAAAAACAACUGGGACAGUGUGACAGCUGUUUAAGGAUGCCAAAGAAAAGUGUCCCCGGGGAAAGCUCCCCGGGGAAUGCUCUGUUUGCAAGAGGCAGUUGUGAGUGACACACAAGACAGACAGCCAGGAGCGGGGACAGCCCGGCCCCUGUGAACUCUCCAACGUCCCUGGGAUCGGGACCACCCACCAGAUGUGAAGGCUUGUAUUUCGUGCCGAGGAUGAUGGCACUGAUAGCCGUGCUGAUGGCUGCUGUUCUUCGGUGCCUGUUAGAAACGGGAUUGCUCUGAAGCCGUGGCUCCUGGAGGGGUCCUUCCUGGGAAACGUUUACCACUUUGGACGCCCCACAGCUCCUGUGGUUGUUUCCUCUGAGGGUCUUUAUCAACCAGACACAAAUCAGGUUUUAUGGUUGCCCGUUAUUUGCGGCUACUUCACUUUUUUAAUUCUUAAUUUUUGGCCACGAGGCUUGUGGGAUCUUAGUUCCCCGACCAAGGAUCGAACCCACACCGGCUGCAGUAGAAGUGCUGAGUCCUAACUACUGGACCACCAGGGAACUCCCUGCGGCUACUUUAUAAUCUGGCCAGUGCUUCCCUGUGGCAAAUGGGUGAUGGGACAUCAAGACAAGAGGAUGGGGACAACGUGUCCAUCCAGAGAUGCUACACCCUGGAGGUGAAGGCGGACCACACGAUGGUCCCCGUUUGUGUGGGAGCUGCCACCUCUGAAGCAGGCUGGGUGGAUGUGUCUCAUGGAAAGCACUGGACUUGGGUCCCAAAGACUUGGAUCUGACUCCCGGACCAACCACUUCCUAGCAGUAUGGAGUGGGGCACAUUAGUGAACCUUUCUGACUCUCAGUGGUCUCACCUGUAAACUGGAGCUGAGACCUACCUGUCAGGGCAGUUAGGGAGUUCCAAGGAAGCACCUCACUCCCAGAGACACAAUAAACAUUAGCUGAAAUGGCAAAAUCUGAUUCGGUAUAUGGGCGUGACCUCACCUCCAAGGGCGUUAAACUCAGUCACCUAGCAGGUAGGGUGUCCUCCUGUCUCACCCCCAAGAGCAGGGGCGCAGAGCCCGGAAGUCAGCCUGCCACCUCCCCACCAAGAGCUGGUGACGGAGCCCAGGCCGAGCCGGAGCUGCGCGUCCCCGGUGAUCCAGAGCGCCUGCCACCACGCGGUUGUGAGCUUUUCCAGAGCACGCGGCUUGGACCAUUUGCCUGAGCUCCAUCGCUCCCAGCUACUCAGGGGUCAUCUCUUUCCUCCAGGCCCCUAGGGCACCACUCUGGGAACUGAAGCCCCAGAAAAAGUGCAAAGAGAAGGAAGCUCAGCGUUAUAUUCUUUCUAGAUGAAUCUCCAGGACGCGGCCGCCCCAGGAGAGUCCCCGACCGGCAGCAAACCUGUCUGUGUCAGUCUGCCUCAACACGCUAUUUGGAAAGUCAAGAUUUUCAAUGUAAACUUUGUUCUCCCUUCCCAUUCUUUGGGGAUUCACAGUUGGAGCUCUUUGCAGCCCUUCCUCUCCACGUCUCCUUGGUGCUGAAAUGGGAGGUCACGCGACAUCCCUGUAAGAACAAGUCCCGGGUGCCGGCGUCCUAUCAGAGGGCAGAGCUGCGGCGGCGCUGGCUCCUGGGUUUGCCUGGGUGCUGGUUUCUCAGCGGCACUAUCUUUGGCAGAUUUUUUUAUCCUUGUUCUUUAUCUCAAGCCCGUCGGGCAAAUGACAGCGGAAUCGCAAGCUUGAAUGGGCUUGUCUGACAGGCCAGCUUUUCUCCUGGGCUCAGCUGCCUGACUUUUAAAAAGGCACCCCAAGCAGAGGAUAGUCAUUUCACACCGAUUCCUUGCUGUAAUUUGCUUUUGGGUUUAAAAUGUCGCGUUUCCAUCACCCUGGCUGUGCGGCGUGAGGGAGAAGAUGGGCCAUGCGUGUGGUUAAUGUCUCUGUAAUAGAGACACGCAAAGGCACUGCUAUGCUCUGAAGCAACAGCCCUGGGAACACUGAGCUGCAGACCAAGGAACUCUCUACCAGCCACAGACAAGUGCAUUCAAAGGGCUCUGUAACAGAUGACUGGCUCCCGCAGAAAUAGGGCCACUUGUAACAGAAGCCUCACGUGGAAAUCUCCACUAGGCAAGCAUGUAUUAGAAUAUUUUUAUGCUCCAGGCUGUGUGAAGUUGGGGUGGUCUUAGGAAACCCUGCAAAGCGAGAGGAUCUGAAACCCAGAUCUAAACACAGUGAGGCUCAGAUGAAGUCCAGCUGGGGAUGCAAAAUCCCACUCGGAUAAGGGGAAGCUGGAGGAUACAGGCCAAAAGGGAAAGAAGUCCCCACGCUGAUGAGCACGGAUAAGGCUGUGCUUGGAGAAUCCUCUAAGCAAAAGGACAGAGGCUCCCGGAAAGGUCAAGGGACAGGGUUGUACCCAGUUUGGCAGCGGGAAGCAAUGGCUUUUCCUGAUUGAUAAUCUGCCCGUGGAAGCAUCUCUCCCGUUUCUUCACCACCUCUCACCACACUCGUGAUGGAGGCCGUACUGCCUGACGCUUAAUUAGUCUUCCUGCCCAGAGCCUGUAAUGUUUCACGUUUCUUACUCCUCGCCUGGCCUGUGUGUGCCUUGAGGUCAGGAAUCAGCAUGCAGCCCUCUCUGCGUGCCCUGAGGCGCCUUCCCAGGGCUUAAUAACUACCCAGAGCAUAUCAGAGCCCUUCGCACACGGCUCACAAAGCUUCAGGAGUACUAGCGGGAUUGCGUAAGGCUCAGGCGUAAGGCUCAGGCAGGCUGCUUCGAGGGGAACAAAUCCCAGCUCGUUCUCGGUGGGAUACCAGGCUGCUGAUGGUCUCUCCCACCCGCCUUCUGUGCCUUCCUGGCCGGGACACCAUAUGUUAUAUAGGCCAGCUGAGCAGAACCGAAUGCCCUCGGGCCUCUGGGUCUUUGCACACACGCUUCUCUCCACCUGGUUGCCCUUCCCUCAUUCAUCCAUCUGUGGACUUGUCCGCUCAGCUCCAGGUCAACCCUCCCCUCCAGACAAAGCUUCAGGCGUCCCGCGGGCAGAGCCGGUGACGCCCUGUGCUGUGGGCCCAGGGUACUUGGCCUGACGCGGCGACUGGGCCACCUUCCCUGCCAUCGGGUCGGUACUGCCUGUUGGCAGGUCUGUCUCUUCCGUCGGGCUGUGAGUGCCUUGAGGGCAGGACCCACGUUCCUCCUUGCCCCUCAGCUCUCGGUCCUCAGCACAGUGCCUGGCACCAGUACAAGUUUAUUGAAGGAAUAUGUUUGCCCACAUUGGGUAGAUCGUGGGGAAGACGGGACCGGGGCCCAGUAAGUAAUAUGGGGACAGAGCAAAAGGGAUCCUGCUGGGAGAGAAGCAAGCUGCAGAGAGAAGCAAGGCCCCGGGGCCCCUCUUGAUGAGCUAGGGCACCCAGGACCGAUCCUACACAGGAUGCUUGUGAUGUCAUCCUUUGGAUAGCUUGUCCCACUUUGGGGGUUUCUCUGUAUUUCCUUCCAAGUCUUUAGGCAAACUUCUCUUACUGCUUUCAGGUACUCUGCCCACCAAGAUCAUUAUUAAUAGUUUCCAGGGAUAGACUGGUGGCGGCGGGUAGCAGUGCAUUGGCUGGGGGACCAGGAGGAGAGAGUAGCAGUAGCCCUGGAUGGGGGCGGGGGGUGGAAGAGGAUACGAUUAGGAUCGCGGACCCCAGCCUGGCUUCGGAUCCCAGCCGAAAAGAAGCAGUGAGAGGGCCUCAGCCUCCCUGCCUGGGCCAAGAGUGAUGGCUCUAUCGCUGAGUUGCUCAGAACAUUGAGCAAAUUAGUGCAUGGAAGCUUCCAGAGUGGGGCCUGGCACAUAGUAGUUGCUGCUGAAAUCCAGGUCCUGUCAUCUGGAACCAGAAGCUGGAGUCCAGCCUGGCUUUCUCCACCUGUGAGUUGUCUGACCCGGGUAGGUCACGUCACCUCACCUCUCCACUCAUGUUCUCUCGACUCUGAUAUGGAGACAGAAAUGCUGACCUCGUGGGCCAUUGUGAGAAUCAAGGAGAGGAUGGGAGUGAAUGUGUUUUGUAAAAGCUAUGAGGUGCUUUCCGGAGGUGCUUGUGAAGUUACCUGGGUGAAGGUUGGGAAGGUGAGGACACCUCAGAUAUCCUGCCUCUGUGGAGUCAAUGAUUGUGUAUUAACUUUAAAUAGGGCCUAUUAGGUACCCCCAAGCAAACCGUGACUCUCGUUGUGAUGGCCGGUUCUGUGGGUCAAAUUGGCUGGACCACAGUACCCAGAUAUUUAGUCAGACCUUAUUGUGUCCGUGAGGGUGUUUUUGGAUGAGAUAAACAUUUAAAUCAUUGCACUUUGAGUAAAGCAGAUUACCCUCCGUAAUGUGGGUGGGCCUCAUCCAAUCAGUCAAAGACCUGAAUAGAACAAAAGACUGAUGGCCCCCAAGGAAGAGGGAAUUGUGCCAGCAGACAGCCCGUGGACUUGAAGUGCAGCCCUGGCUCUGCUGCGGGUCUCCAACCUGCUGGUCUACCCAAGUCCAGACUUUGGAUUUGCCAAGCUCCAAUGUUGCAUGAACCAGUUCCUUAAAAAUCAGUCUCUCUCUCUCUUCCUUCUUCUCCCUCUGUACACACGUGGGCGCGUGCAUGCACGCUACUGGUUCUGUUUCUCUGGAGCACACUAACUAAUACACCCAGAAACAUUAGGAAUCCUCAGAUAGCUUUAAACUGUAUCCUCUGACAGUCACAGUGAACGUGAAUCUCACAGGGUGCCGCUUUCAAACACAGCUGGUCCAAUCUAAGCUUGAUUGCCCUCCCUCACCCAUUCCUCACCAUGGAAACCACAUAAAGAUUCUUGCCCACAGGUCCCCCCAGCUCCCUCUGCCUCUUGACUGACCUGGUGCUUCCCCAUGUGGCCCUGCAUGGUGUCUUAUGUUCUCCCCAAGGAACCGCUGAAGAGGAGUGUCGCAUGCAUGUGCGGGCGUGGGAGAAGGGCCAGUUGAAGGCACUGUUGCUGUGGGUUUUUUGAAACUCUCCAAGUCCCUCACACGCCCAUGGUCGCUAUCACCCAGGCAGGACUGCUUGACAGAGCACGUGAUAGAGCGGAACUUAAUGAAGGGAUCCUAGAUGCUAGAGGGCGGAAAACAAGCCCUUCUCUUGUCUUCACGAUACCUUCCAGUGUCAGGACACGGGGUCACUGGAUGGAGCUCAGGACAAAGAAAUGGAAAUAAACCACCGCUGGAGGUGCCGCUUCCCCGUUUCCGACGACCAGUCAGACUAUCUGCCUGGCUUCGGCUGCGGGUCCUGAGUUAAACGUUACAGCUGAUGGGCUGGGUGAAUCCAUGAUCAAUAGUGAUGCUGGUUCUUACAGGAGCUAAGAUAAGGGUAAUUAAAUCCUGUGCUUCGGGCCAUAUAAACUGAUCUCUGCAGGAGGGCGAGAAUUAAUUUAAUUUCACAUGCACAGCCCUGUCCGGUGCCUCCACCAGCUUUGUAUGAUAGACCCAGCGCGUGGCAGAGACGGUAGAGGGAAGGCGGAAAGAUUUGUUCCGAGCUCGAGGUGUUAUUAACCACCACACACAUCAAGAGCCUGAACUUGAUGGGGCCCAAGGCUGAUCUAGGGGGGCAAAUCCAGAGAUUCUUACAGCUUCUCCCUCUAUUGGGUUUAUUACACACAAUCUGUACCGGGACUGUUUUCACACUUAAUGGCAAUCCUGAAUCACUAUCUACUUCCCAUUUUCGCCUGCAAAACAGCAACCCAGAGCUAGUGUUCCGCCAUAAACACUCGGCCCCAUGAAGCCACGGCUGUAUAGACUUGCCUUUUUGUGCGUCUGUGUCUGAUUCACUGGCGCUUUGGCAGCCUUCCAGGAUCUAGGAGAGGAAAAAAACCAUCCUGAGCAUCCCAACAGCCUCAUUUUGAUCUGUGAUACCGAGCAACUCAUUUCCACUUCACAGGCUCUGCUGAGCUGUGCUACAGAAAGACAAAUCCCAGCCGAAGAAAGGGCGGGCGGGAGGAUGGUGGAGGAGACAGAGGGAGGGGAGGGGAGAGCAGAAAAAGGCCGCAUCUAUUAAGCUGUUUUUCUUUUGGUGAAAAGAAGCAUUUAUCAGUGAUUUCAUAUAUCAUGUGAGAGGUGGCUUCCUGCCAAUUUCCAAGAAUCCAAACAGCCCACUGACAUCAGAUGCUAAAUAUAGCUCAGCCUUUGCUUUAGGUGAAUAAAUAAUGCUGCUGGAAAGGAA